CUAAUGAACCUAAUGAGAUUACAGAGACUAAGGUAAUGUUUGGAUGCCUCUGAAUGAGGUCUCCUCAUAGAGUGGAAGCAUGCUCAUUGGCAAUAUUUGGACUCCUGGGCUCUAUAAAACACACAGAUAUACAUAAAAUUACUGCAGAAGAACAUGGAGAUGGUAGACAUGUACAGGCAUGUGACCUGAGAGGAUGGUUUAGAGACCCUAUUCUUAAACACCAGAUCUUUUGGAGAUUUUUGGAUUCUACUCCUUAGAGAAAAAACUGAAUAGUCCAUCUAUUUCCUGCCCAGUGUCUUGCUUGAAGACCAGUCUGUUAGUUAUUUGGAUGCUUUUGCUGAUAACUGGAUGUAAAGAGGGUUGUGUACUUAGAAAAUUAAAUACUCAAGUGGAUCUGUGAUCUCAUCCAUCUAAACAUUCCCUCCAGUGAUGCAGAAGACAACCUGGCCAUGCCUGCUUAUCCUGUGUGACCACCAUCUCUAUCUCUCUAUAAGUUUCCCCAAAGGAGACCGCCCAAUAUGCUGGAGGCCAUCCUCAAUUUCUCCUGACAACUUUUGCAACUUUAUUUUGAAGGCAAACUGUCCUAACACAAGCUGUUCCCUAUGUAUGAUUUCACACUGCCUGCCUUUGAAACUUCUGACCAGCCUGUUCUCUGUGACUGGAAUGAAAUGGCAAUAGGAGGACUAACGCCUAAUCAAAGAGAAGAGAAAACUGUUUUCACUUUCUUAGAAGUUGUUCAGGACUGGAUUUGACAAUCACUCCAUCAACUGACUGCUGGAAUCUGAAAUUCUGAACUAAUUUACUGUGUUGUAUAUUGGCAGGGAGGUAUAUCUGAUGCUUUUA
This 843-nucleotide long non-coding RNA is filed under the name Monodelphis domestica (gray short-tailed opossum). RNAcentral describes it as "lncRNA (ENSMODG00000031217.2)". Lineage: Eukaryota; Metazoa; Chordata; Mammalia; Didelphimorphia; Didelphidae. The record is from RNAcentral.